This 749-nucleotide ribosomal RNA is filed under the name human gut metagenome. RNAcentral's name for it is "bacterial SSU rRNA". It matches the Rfam family "Bacterial small subunit ribosomal RNA", at positions 135 to 901 of the family's 1533-position model. The record is from RNAcentral.
GGAACGGGAUAGUGUCUGGAAACGGACAGUAAUACCGUAUAACGUAUUUUUACCGCAUGAUAGAAAUACCAAAACUGAGGUGCCGAAGGAUGGGCUCGCGUCUGAUUAGAUAGUUGGUGGGGUAACGGCCUACCAAGUCGACGAUCAGUAGCCGGACUGAGAGGUUGAACGGCCACAUUGGGACUGAGACACGGCCCAGACUCCUACGGGAGGCAGCAGUGGGGAAUAUUGCACAAUGGGGGAAACCCUGAUGCAGCAACGCCGCGUGAAGGAAGACGGUUUUCGGAUUGUAAACUUCUGUUCUUAGUGAAGAAUAAUGACGGUAGCUAAGGAGCAAGCCACGGCUAACUACGUGCCAGCAGCCGCGGUAAUACGUAGGUGGCAAGCGUUGUCCGGAAUUACUGGGUGUAAAGGGAGCGUAGGCGGGAUGCCAAGUCAGCUGUGAAAACUAUGGGCUUAACCCGUAGACUGCAGUUGAAACUGGUAUUCUUGAGUGAAGUAGAGGUUGGCGGAAUUCCGAGUGUAGCGGUGAAAUGCGUAGAUAUUCGGAGGAACACCGGUGGCGAAGGCGGCCAACUGGGCUUUAACUGACGCUGAGGCUCGAAAGUGUGGGGAGCAAACAGGAUUAGAUACCCUGGUAGUCCACACUGUAAACGAUGAUAACUAGGUGUGGGGGGUCUGACCCCUUCCGUGCCGCAGCUAACGCAAUAAGUUAUCCACCUGGGGAGUACGACCGCAAGGUUGAAACU